The sequence is a small nuclear RNA, 127 nucleotides long. Its record names the gene U4. It matches the Rfam family "U4 spliceosomal RNA". From Rfam's summary of the family: U4 small nuclear RNA (U4 snRNA) is a component of the major U2-dependent spliceosome. The record is from Ensembl.
AGCUUUGCGCAGUGGCAGUAUCGUAGCCAAUGAGGUUUAUCCGAGGCGCGAUUAUUGCUAAUUGAUCUUUAUUGAUGAUCUUUUAUGUGCCCAGCACAACAUGUAGAGGUCUUUAAUAGACCAAAGA